CCCUUAGAUGUCCUGGGCCGCACGCGCGCUACACUGAACGGAUCAGCGCGUUUUCCCUUCCCGAGAGGGACGGGUAACCUGCUGAACCCCGUUCGUGGUAGGGAUCGGGGCUUGCAAUUAUUCCCCGUGAACCAGGAAUGCCCAGUAAGUGCAAGUCAUAAGCUUGCGUUGAUUACGUCCCUGCCCUUUGUACACACCGCCCGUCGCUACUACCGAUUGAACGUUUUAGUGAGGUACUCGGACUGAGCCUCAGAAGAUUCACGUCUUUUGUGCUGCUCGGGAAGAUUCCCAAACUUGAGCGUUUAGAGGAAGUAAANGUCGUAACA
Molecule: ribosomal RNA, 326 nt
Filed under: uncultured eukaryote
Lineage: Eukaryota
Description: partial 18S ribosomal RNA
Rfam family: Eukaryotic small subunit ribosomal RNA
Source: RNAcentral